GGCUAGAGGUGGUUCCUGGAGCUUCAGGCUUCCCUGAUGUGAGCUGGAGCGGUGCCAAGGCCCAGGUCUCCCUCCACCAGGUCCUCCUGGUGCUCGGAUCCAGAGUCGCCUCCUGUGGAUGCGAGGAUGCAGCAACACAAAGAGAGUCUCACCUCCUGCACACGGGGGCUACUGAAGACUCUGGCAAACACACCACAGCACUGUGGCAGCGAGUCGGUCAGCGGGGGGCCGCAGUGUGUCAACAGUGGCUUUAGAUAUCUGCAGCCUUGUUAAGACUUGUGACAAAGGUUUGAGUGUCAAAGAUGGCAAACAGAAGAGAGGAAAAAGGUUUCUGGUCCAUUUUACAUCUGACCUCGGGACACUGAGCCAUGAUUGUAAUAAUGAUAACAGAAAGAAAGCACAUCUAAGAGUUUGUUUCGUAAGAUUCUGAGUGAAAUUUAGCAAUUUCAUGUUGUUAGUGCUUUAGGAACGUAUUUUAGAAGUUUCAGAAAGGUUCAGAAGAGCUUUUCAGUUUUAGUUUCUGAUGUUGGAGGGCAAAUCAGACUCUAGCAACUAUGUUAGAAAGACAUAGUGACUCAUUUUAUAGCCGUAAAGUGCUUCCUUGCACACUAUUUUAUAUGUAAAUACAUCAAAAGUGGGAACUACAUUCAGGGUCAGUCACUAUAUAUUUAUAUAUAACCACAAUAGUUUUCUGUUUAAAGAUUCCUGGCAUUUUUUUUUUUACUCUAUAUGCUAAUACACGACAUAAUAACCAUGAAUCAACAUGUUGCUCAAGGACUCUUUGCAAAAAGACCUCAAGUAUUUUCUCUUUUUUUUCUUUACAAUACAAACAAAAGCUAAAAAUAGACGGUCUUUUUCAGAUUGACAUCACUGUACCAAUUUCACAUAAUGCUAAAAUAAUAAUGCAGCUGCAGUAUAUUACGAGGUAGUUGUCAGCUUACUGUCACUAAGUGUCGAUAGCGUUCCACUUCUAAGACAACACACUGCAGAGAGCUGCAUGCUAGUCAUUCAAGCUUUAGGUAUUGUUCUAUUUUUGUUGCAGAAUCUAAACUGUUAGCAUAUUUAAUGGACAUGUACUGGCUUUUGUCUGCAGUGUAGUUGUCUUCAGUAAUAAAAAUUCCAAUGCAACGAAGAAUGGACACAAAAGGCGCUAGCGGAGGGUUAGAGAGAGAUAAAAAUAAUUUGCCCAUUAAAUUAAAAAAAGGCAUCCGUCAUGCACUUGUUGUAGGUAAAUGGGUCAGUUUAGCACUUGAUUGAACCCAGAGGCAGGUCGGAAACGGUUUACAAAUAUGCCAAAGUGCUGAUGUAAAGUUUGGAUGAGAGCAGGAGUAGAUGCGGUUGUUUUUAGAUGCCAAGUGUCGCAGAUAAAGGGAGCCCCAAAUUCACACACAGCUGUGAUGGUAGGUGGCUACUUCAUGAACACAAUGGCACCCUCAAACAGCUCUUUUCAAGCCAGAUUUCACCCAGUAGCUUGUUGACAGCUCAUCUUGUGCGCACUCGAUUCUGUAUUGUCACCACUACAGUAAAAAAAAAGUCCUAAUUAAUAAGUUCCUUUGUUGCAGGAGUUCACGCUCUGCCCUACUUGUGCCUCAAAAAAAGACAAAACCAUACUUCACCGGUGUCAUCAUUCCUAGACAAAAGCAACCUUUUGUACCUCUGAGCCUAUAAUGAACAAUGUGGGAUUUAUAGAGGGGGAACACAAGUACACAAUCCUCUGGCAGAAGCACAAAAUAAGAGGGAAAUGAUCUAAUGUGCAAUUUGGGCGCCAACUCUUACAUUCUAGUUUUGUUAUCAGUGAUGUGCAAGAGGCUGGAAUUAGGGGCGACAUUCAGCUAACAGGAUUUAGUCAUAAAAUGAGGGGCAGAAAGAGAAAAGGGAUAAGGAGGUAGAAAAAAAAAGGAGAAUAAUGACUUUUCAUGGGACGUGCAGGAGCGAGUUCUUGUCGGCGCGGUGUCCUCCUGUUCUGGGUUGGCAUUAUAGUAGACAGGGGUGGUAAUUAUAACUGCGAGCUCUGCUUUCUGCCCCACAGUGGUGUCGGGUUCUAUGUGUGUGUGUCAAUAAGUGUGUGUGGGAAAAGGUGCUGAGUAAUUGUGUGGGGGUAGGAGCCCAACUGCUGCUUCGGCCACCAUGGCAGCGAGCAUCGUUCCCUCCCAACACGUCCCACACGUCACCUUUUCCUGACCUUUCGUCAGCGGUGGAAAAGCAUCAGAGUUGGUGGAGCAUGUUUGCUCCAAUGCUUGCUUCAGUACAUAUGUGUGCUCGAAUAGGUCCAUUUUAUCCUAUGUACUAGUAUACAGCAAGAUUAAAUCAAAAAUGCACGCUUCAGUGAGCAAAAUAAACAUCAAAAAUAAAUUGAA
This is a long non-coding RNA of Acanthochromis polyacanthus (spiny chromis), 2357 nucleotides long. RefSeq lists it as uncharacterized. The record is from RefSeq and is a predicted model, not a curated record. Lineage: Eukaryota; Metazoa; Chordata; Actinopteri; Pomacentridae. The transcript is spliced from 2 exons.